AUUGAACGCUGGCGGAAAGCCUAACACAUGUAAGUCGAAAGAGUGGCGGACGGGUGAGUAAUGUCUGGGGAACUGCCUGAUGGAGGGGGAUAACUACUGGAAACGGUAGCUAAUACCGCAUACCAUCGGAUGUUCCCAGAUGGGAUUAGCUAGUAGGUGGGGUAGAGGCUCACCUAGGCGACGAUCCCUAGCUGGUCUGAGAGGAUGCCCAGCCAAAAUGGAAGUGAGACAAGGUCCAGACUCCUACGGGAGGCAGCAGUGGGGAAUAUUGCACAGUGGGCGCAAGCCUGAUGCAGCCAUUCCGCGUGUAUGAAGAAGGCCUUCGGGUUGUAAAGUUCUUUCAGCGGGGAGGCGUUACCCGCAGAAGAAGCACCGGCUAACUCCGUGCCAGCAGUCGCGGUAAUAC
RNAcentral lists this ribosomal RNA (406 nucleotides) under uncultured bacterium. RNAcentral describes it as "partial 16S ribosomal RNA". It matches the Rfam family "Bacterial small subunit ribosomal RNA", at positions 30 to 526 of the family's 1533-position model. The record is from RNAcentral.